This 254-nucleotide ribosomal RNA is filed under the name uncultured bacterium. RNAcentral's name for it is "partial 16S ribosomal RNA". It matches the Rfam family "Bacterial small subunit ribosomal RNA", at positions 524 to 776 of the family's 1533-position model. The record is from RNAcentral.
UACGGAGGGUGCGAGCGUCGUCCGGAAUCAUUGGGCGUAAAGGGCGCGUAGGUGGCCCGGUCAGUUCGUGGUGAAAGCGCGGGGCUCAACCCUGCGUCGGCCAUGAAUACUGCCGCGGCUGGAGCACUGUAGAGGCAGGCGGAAUUCCGGGUGUAGCGGUGGAAUGCGUAGAGAUCCGGAAGAACACCGGUGGCGAAGGCGGCCUGCUGGGCAGUUGCUGACACUGAGGCGCGACAGCGUGGGGAGCAAACAGG